UCCUGUUCUGGGCGCGGCGGCCAGAGCAGCACGCACCAGUUCUUCCUGCAGCCGCGUCGCCACGUUCCUGAAAACCACCGUCCGCCAUGGCCAAUGAACCCAGUGCUCUCGAGCCCCUCGGCUUGCUCCCGCGGCACCAACAUGCUCCUGAUCUAGAAGAAUUGCCGACGCGUCCAGGGUGGGACUGCUCUCCAACAUGGACUCCAGGUCAUUCUUGGACUGAAAGAAUUCCAGGUGUUUAUUUAGCUGAACUGAAUUUCGAGUUUUGGACAUGCUGUUUUAAGUGAUGCUAUUAGAAACAGCUAGAAAAAGAUAAAUUAGUAGUAACUGGAAAAAUGAAUACCUGCGGAAGGUCUACAAUAGCUGAUUGUAUUCAUUGUAGAAAAAGCAUUUAACCUCUUUAAUUUAUUAAUUGAUCCUAGAGCUAUGGUGCAGAUAGUGGCCAUGGUGGAUGGAUGAUAUGAGGUGAUCUGGGUGCUGCAUUUGAUGGCCAUGAUGUGUUUGCUGCAGGCCAACUCCCUGCUUGUGGCCUCUGAAGGUUGGGAAACUAUAAUUGAAAUGUAUCUGAAGACAUGGUCAGCACGUUUAGGCACUUAUGAAUUCGAAAAUGUUAAUUGUUUGUUGUGCACUAAAGUUUUUGUGUUCAUAGUGCUUCGCGCCGAUAGCUGAUAAGGCAUUGAUUUUUUGCCAAUGUAUACAUAGAAAAGACAUGUAACUAUAGAUUUUUUUAAGACAGCUAGCUACUUGGAUUAUGCAUUGGCAAGUACUCCCACAGAUACAAUUAGAACUGGGUUUGCUCUUAAUUAAGUAGCUCGCUGGAUAACUUUUAAGGAUUUCCCCAAAUCAAAAUAAUUACCUUGAAGUUCAGAUCUUCUACUGAAAGUCCUUUUCUAUCUAUGAACAUCAGGAGACAACUUCCAGUUCUAGUAGACCUAUCCGAUAGAAUUCUCGAAGCUAUUAGCCUGCAAGCUCUCAAUCAGGUAUUGUAUUUGCAACUUAGCGUAUUUUUUACUGAAGUUUGGUGCCUAACUCCCAAACAUCUUU
This 1044-nucleotide long non-coding RNA is filed under the name Triticum aestivum (bread wheat). RNAcentral describes it as "long non-coding RNA (TAES_LNC004495)". Lineage: Eukaryota; Viridiplantae; Streptophyta; Magnoliopsida; Poales; Poaceae. The record is from RNAcentral.